This 459-nucleotide ribosomal RNA is filed under the name uncultured bacterium. Its description in RNAcentral is "bacterial SSU rRNA". It matches the Rfam family "Bacterial small subunit ribosomal RNA", at positions 8 to 507 of the family's 1533-position model. The record is from RNAcentral.
AGAGUUUGAUCAUGGCUCAGGAUAAACGCUGGCGGCGUGCCUAACACAUGCAAGUCGAACGAUUCCCGCCAAGGGAGAGUGGCGGAAGGGUGAGUAACACGUGGGAAUCUACCUCCUCGCAGGGGAACAACCUCUCGAAAGAGAGGCUAAUACCCAAAGGGUCAGAAAUGAUCAGAGUCGAAAGGCGUGAGGGAGAGGAAGCCCGCGGCCCAUCAGCUAGUUGGUGAGGUAAUGGCUUACCAAGGCUACGACGGUAGGGGAUCUGAGAGGAUGUCCCCACACUGGAACUGAAACACGGUCCAGACGCCUACGGGUGGCAGCAGUGAGGAAUAUUGGACAAUGGGCGAAAGCCCGAUCCAGCAACGCCGCGUGGAGGAUGAAGGCCUUCGGGUCGUAAACUUCUUUAGAGGGAGACGAGAAAGGACGGUAUCCCUAGAAUAAGCGACGGCAAACUACGUG